Molecule: transfer RNA, 68 nt
Filed under: Marmota monax (woodchuck)
Lineage: Eukaryota; Metazoa; Chordata; Mammalia; Rodentia; Sciuridae
Description: tRNA.Ala
Source: RNAcentral
GUGGUGGCUCAGUGGUAGAGGGCUUGUCUGGCAUGUGUGAGGCACUGGGUUGGAUUCUCAGCACCACG